This 481-nucleotide ribosomal RNA is filed under the name uncultured bacterium. Its description in RNAcentral is "bacterial SSU rRNA". It matches the Rfam family "Bacterial small subunit ribosomal RNA", at positions 348 to 826 of the family's 1533-position model. The record is from RNAcentral.
GCAGCAGUGAGGAAUAUUGGUCAAUGGACGAGAGUCUGAACCAGCCAAGUAGCGUGAAGGAUGACUGCCCUAUGGGUUGUAAACUUCUUUUAUAUGGGAAUAAAACAGGGUAUGCAUACCCUCUUGUAUGUACCAUAUGAAUAAGGAUCGGCUAACUCCGUGCCAGCAGCCGCGGUAAUACGGAGGAUCCGAGCGUUAUCCGGAUUUAUUGGGUUUAAAGGGAGCGUAGGUGGAUUGUUAAGUCAGUUGUGAAAGUUUGCGGCCCAACCGUAAAAUUGCAGUUGAAACUGGCAGUCUUGAGUACAGUAGAGGUGGGCGGAAUUCGUGGUGUAGCGGUGAAAUGCUUAGAUAUCACGAAGAACUCCGAUUGCGAAGGCAGCUCACUGGACUGCAACUGACACUGAUGCUCGAAAGUGUGGGUAUCAAACAGGAUUAGAUACCCUGGUAGUCCACACAGUAAACGAUGAAUACUCGCUGUUUG